UUGAUACAUGUGUGGCAGAAGACUUUUUUGAACUCGAUUUAAUUACGAAUUUUGAUACAAAAUCAAUCUUCCUCAAAUUUUGUAUAUUGACUUAUCUAAAUAUUUUCAAUGAUUUCAACUAUACCCAUUGAAAAGAGUCUUUUUUUGUUUAGAUUUUUGAAAUAUUGUAUAUAUUUUUGUAUUUCAUCACCUUAUUUGCUACCCCGUCCAUGAAAUUUCCUUUCUGACUUGUAUGUAAUGUUGCUAAUCACGCAUAAAAAUAUGAAAGAUGAUUUUUGCAUGUGAUUCUUUGAUUGAAAGAACCCUAUUAUUUGAUUUUUAAUUUUUGUUAGUUAGUUUUUGUAAGUCUAUAACUAAUGGUUAAAUACUAGUAAAUUAAAAUUUAUUUGGGA
This 392-nucleotide long non-coding RNA is filed under the name Nicotiana benthamiana. RNAcentral describes it as "long non-coding RNA (NBEN_LNC002274)". Lineage: Eukaryota; Viridiplantae; Streptophyta; Magnoliopsida; Solanales; Solanaceae. The record is from RNAcentral.